RNAcentral lists this ribosomal RNA (253 nucleotides) under uncultured bacterium. RNAcentral describes it as "partial 16S ribosomal RNA". It matches the Rfam family "Bacterial small subunit ribosomal RNA", at positions 524 to 776 of the family's 1533-position model. The record is from RNAcentral.
UACGUAGGGUGCGAGCGUUAAUCGGAAUUACUGGGCGUAAAGCGUGCGCAGGCGGUUUGUUAAGACAGGUGUGAAAUCCCCGGGCUUAACCUGGGAAUUGCGCUUGUAACUGGCAAGCUAGAGUGUGUCAGAGGGAGGUAGAAUUCCACGUGUAGCAGUGAAAUGCGUAGAGAUGUGGAGGAAUACCGAUGGCGAAGGCAGCCUCCUGGGAUAACACUGACGCUCAUGCACGAAAGCGUGGGGAGCAAACAGG